GAUGAACGCUGGCGGCGUGCUUAACACAUGCAAGUCGAACGAUGAAGCCCAGCUUGCUGGGUGGAUUAGUGGCGAACGGGUGAGUAACACGUGAGUAACCUGCCCUUGACCCUGGGAUAAGCCUGGGAAACUGGGUCUAAUACUGGAUAUGACUUCUCAUCGCAUGGUGGGGGGUGGAAAGAUUUAUUGGUCUUGGAUGGACUCGCGGCCUAUCAGCUUGUUGGUGAGGUAAUGGCUCACCAAGGCGACGACGGGUAGCCGGCCUGAGAGGGUGACCGGCCACACUGGGACUGAGACACGGCCCAGACUCCUACGGGAGGCAGCAGUGGGGAAUAUUGCACAAUGGGCGCAAGCCUGAUGCAGCGACGCCGCGUGAGGGAUGACGGCCUUCGGGUUGUAAACCUCUUUCAGUAGGGAAGAAGCGAGAGUGACGGUACCUGCAGAAGAAGCGCCGGCUAACUACGUG
This 466-nucleotide ribosomal RNA is filed under the name uncultured bacterium. RNAcentral's name for it is "partial 16S ribosomal RNA". It matches the Rfam family "Bacterial small subunit ribosomal RNA", at positions 28 to 507 of the family's 1533-position model. The record is from RNAcentral.